GACGAACCGUGCGAACGUUGUUCGGAAUCACUGGGCUUAAAGGGCGCGUAGGCGGGUUCGUAAGUCUGUGGUGAAAGCCUCCAGCUUAACUGGAGAAGUGCCAUGGAUACUGCGAAUCUUGAGGAGGGUAGGGGCAUCUGGAACGGUCGGUGGAGCGGUGAAAUGCGUUGAUAUCGACCGGAACUCCGGUGGCGAAGGCGAGGUGCUGGACCCUUUCUGACGCUGAGGCGCGAAAGCGUGGGGAGCGAACAGG
RNAcentral lists this ribosomal RNA (253 nucleotides) under uncultured bacterium. RNAcentral's name for it is "partial 16S ribosomal RNA". It matches the Rfam family "Bacterial small subunit ribosomal RNA", at positions 524 to 776 of the family's 1533-position model. The record is from RNAcentral.